RNAcentral lists this long non-coding RNA (1254 nucleotides) under Brassica rapa (field mustard). RNAcentral describes it as "long non-coding RNA (BRAP_LNC003731)". The record is from RNAcentral. Lineage: Eukaryota; Viridiplantae; Streptophyta; Magnoliopsida; Brassicales; Brassicaceae.
GAAAAAUGUAUAGUAAAAUAAAUAAUAACGAAAUACACAAUAUAAUAAAUAUAAAUAUUAUAUUAAACAUUUAUCAUAAUAUUAGAAUAAGUAAAUAUAAAAUAUAAGAAAUUAAUAAUAAGUAAAUAUAGUAAAUAAGAAAUAAAAAUGUUACAUUAAAUAUAUAUUGUAAUAAUAUUAUCAUUGAUAUAAAAGCAUAUUAUCAUUGAUAUAAAAGCAAAAAAAAAAGAAUAAAUAAAUUUACAAAAUAAGAAAAGAUAAACAAUAAGUAAAUAUAUAAUAUAAAAAAGAAAAAACAAAAUUAAAAAUAUAUCUGAAAAAUGUAUAGUUAAAUAAAUAAUAAGUAAAUAUACAAUAUUAAAAUAUUAAAUUAGACAACUAUGACAUAUUAUAAUAAUUUAAUAUAAAAAAGAAAAAAUAAUAAUAAGUAAAUAUAAUAUAUAAAAAUGAAAAUAUUACAUUAAAUAUAUAUCAUAAUAUUAUAAUUGAUAUAACAAGAAAUUUAGAAUAAAUAAAUAUAUAAAAUAAAAAAAGAUAAACAGUAAGUACAUAUACAAUAUAAAAAUAGAAAAACUAAAUUAAACAUGUAUCUGAAAAGAUAUAGUUAAAUGGAAAAUGUAUCUAGGUCUGGGGUUCAAACACCAGACAAUACAAUUUCUACAAGAAGAGGUCUGAGUUUCAAUUCCCGGAAAAAGCGAAUUAUGUAGAAAAUUAGAGAAAAUGCUUACAAGAGAUCUUCAGCAUGGCGCAAGGAGUACCGUCAGGAAUUGAUCUCAUAGAGCUACUCAGGGUGAUGCAGUCAGGCGUGAAUCCUCAUAAAGCAGGUAGAAUUGUCGGCUGUAAUAUUGUCUAUAUAAUGUUUCUCAUAAUUUGUAAUAGCAUAACUAACCAGACAAAAAAAAAAUGGAAAAUGUAUAGUUAAAUAAAUAAUAAACAAAUAUACAAUAUAGGAAAUAUAAAUACUACAUUAAAAAUCUAUCAUAAUAUUACCAUUUGAUAUAAGAGAAAGAAAAUUAGAGUAAAUUAAUAGACAAUAUAGAGAAAUUUUCUAGGAUAGCCAUUUUAAUUUUUCUUUGUCCUAAAAUAGCCUUCAAUAAGAAAAAUUACCAAAAGAAGUUUUAUUUAAAAAGUAAAAAUACUUUUAUACCCUAGGAUUAACUAAUUUAAACUUAGGGUUUAGAGUUAAUGGAUGGAGUUUUAAAGAUAUAAUUCAAAUUAUAAAAAUAAACAAUUAAAAUUAAAAUUUUCAAAAUU